RNAcentral lists this ribosomal RNA (254 nucleotides) under uncultured bacterium. RNAcentral's name for it is "partial 16S ribosomal RNA". It matches the Rfam family "Bacterial small subunit ribosomal RNA", at positions 524 to 776 of the family's 1533-position model. The record is from RNAcentral.
UACGAAGGGGACUAGCGUUGUUCGGAAUCACUGGGCGUAAAGCGCACGUAGGCGGAUAUUUAAGUCAGGGGUGAAAUCCCAGAGCUCAACUCUGGAACUGCCUUUGAUACUGGGUAUCUUGAGUAUGGAAGAGGUAAGUGGAAUUGCGAGUGUAGAGGUGAAAAUUCGUAGAUAUUCGCAGGAACACCAGUGGCGAAGGCGGCUUACUGGUCCAUAACUGACGCUGAGGUGCGAAAGCGUGGGGAGCAAACAGG